This 433-nucleotide ribosomal RNA is filed under the name uncultured bacterium. Its description in RNAcentral is "partial 16S ribosomal RNA". It matches the Rfam family "Bacterial small subunit ribosomal RNA", at positions 29 to 507 of the family's 1533-position model. The record is from RNAcentral.
AGCGAACGCUGGCGGCAGGCUUAACACAUGCAAGUCGAGCGGGCACUUCGGUGCCAGCGGCAGACGGGUGAGUAACACGUGGGAACGUACCCUUCGGUUCGGAAUAACGCUGGGAAACUAGCGCUAAUACCGGAUACGCCCUUUUGGGGAAAGGUUUACUGCCGAAGGAUCGGCCCGCGUCUGAUUAGCUAGUUGGUGGGGUAAUGGCCUACCAAGGCGACGAUCAGUAGCUGGUCUGAGAGGAUGAUCAGCCACACUGGGACUGAGACACGGCCCAGACUCCUACGGGAGGCAGCAGUGGGGAAUAUUGGACAAUGGGCGCAAGCCUGAUCCAGCCAUGCCGCGUGAGUGAUGAAGGCCUUAGGGUUGUAAAGCUCUUUUGUCCGGGACGAUAAUGACGGUACCGGAAGAAUAAGCCCCGGCUAACUUCGUG